Molecule: ribosomal RNA, 612 nt
Filed under: uncultured eukaryote
Lineage: Eukaryota
Description: bacterial SSU rRNA
Rfam family: Bacterial small subunit ribosomal RNA
Source: RNAcentral
CCUUGGAGAGGGAUAGCCACUGGAAACGGUGAUUAAUACCUCGUAUGCUGAGGAGUGAAAGACCGUAAGGUCGCCAAGGGAUGGGCUUGCGUCUGAUUAGCUAGUUGGGUGGGGUAAAGGCCUCCCAAGGCGAUGAUCAGUAGCUGGUCUGAGAGGACAAUCAGCCACACUGGGACUGAGACACGGCCCAGACUCCUACGGGAGGCAGCAGUGAGGAAUUUUCCGCAAUGGGCGAAAGCCUGACGGAGCAAUGCCGCGUGGAGGAGGAAGGCCUGUGGGUCGUAAACUCCUUUUCUCAGAGAAGAAGUUCUGACGGUAUCUGAGGAAUAAGCAUCGGCUAACUCUGUGCCAGCAGCCGCGGUAAUACAGGGGAUGCAAGCGUUAUCCGGAAUUAUUGGGCGUAAAGCGUCCUGAGGUGGCUUACCCAGUCGACUGUGAAAGCUCAAGGCUUAACCUUGAAACGGCAGUCGAAACUUGUAAGCUUGAGUACGGUAGGGGCAGAGGGAAUUCCCGGAGGAGAGGUGAAAUUCGUAGAUAUCGGGAGGAAGGCCAAAGGCGAAAGCACUCUGCUGGGCCGAUUACUGACACUGACAGACGAAAGCUAGGGGAGCG